This 422-nucleotide ribosomal RNA is filed under the name uncultured bacterium. RNAcentral's name for it is "bacterial SSU rRNA". It matches the Rfam family "Bacterial small subunit ribosomal RNA", at positions 202 to 622 of the family's 1533-position model. The record is from RNAcentral.
AAGCCCUUGCACUUUUGGAGCGGCCGAUGUCUGAUUAGCUAGUUGGUGGGGUAAUGGCCUACCAAGCUUCGAUCAGUAGCUGGUCUGAGAGGACGGCCAGCCACACUGGGACUGAGACACGGCCCAGACUCCUACGGGAGGCAGCAGUGGGGAAUUUUGGACAAUGGGCGCAAGCCUGAUCCAGCCAUGCCGCGUGAGUGAAGAAGGSCUUCGGGUUGUAAAGCUCUUUCAGUCGGGAAYAAAAGGUUGCGGCUAAUAAUCGCAAUUCAUGACGGUACCGGAAGAAGAAGCACCGGCUAACUACGUGCCAGCAGCCGCGGUAAUACGUAGGGUGCGAGCGUUAAUCGGAAUUACUGGGCGUAAAGGGUGCGCAGGCGGUUUUGUAAGUCAGAUGUGAAAUCCCCGGGCUUAACCUGGGAACU